CGGUCCAGUCGGAAGUUUGAUCCCAAAACGGGAGGGCGAGGCUCUUUCGUUUGUCGAGCUCGAGGAGGCUAAGGCGGGCGGAGGCAAGGAGGCGUAGAAGGGCCGGCGGCGGUUCUACUUCGAGNNGUCCAAGAACUACUUCGACUUGUUGCUCUGCCAGUGGUAGCUCGAGUUCUUGCCGUGAUGGCAGGUGCCGUGGUAGUGACCACAACUGUAUUCGUACUUAUGAGUAGACUUCUGGCAUUUCGAGUGUUACUUUCCCUUCUUAGGACAUUGGGAACUAGUGUAGUCGCACUCUCCUUUGUUGUAAGCCAUGAUGUAGGAGGGACUAUCGAAUUUGGACCUUUGCAACGACCAACUCCUAUGGGGGUCCCAGUUCAGAUUCUUCGGUUGAUGUCCCUUCGGAUACCCAGCCCCAGCACCUGCGCCGGCACCCGCACCAGCGCCGGCCCCCGCGACUCGAAAUAACAAGGGACGAAACCUUCGAGCACGUCACGUUCAGGGAUGUCGCAUUGGACGAAGGAGACGCUCGAUACAGCUUCUAACAAAGACAAGACAAUCUUCUACAGUUAGAUUCGGAGGUCUGAAAACUUUACGAUUCACCGUAGGACACGGCAAUGAACAAUGGGACCUUAAGAACGGGAACACGAAAACGCAUCGUCAUUCAACACAAACUCAUCUUCGACUGGGAAAAAGAAGACACCGUUACGAACUCUAAUUUGACCCGACCCCCGUGACCGUAAAGUCUAAUGCGUAACUAUAUAAGUAGACUUAGUACGUGGACAGGUGUUAAGAGCGUACAUACGACGCUACAAUCCGAACUAGUGAAAGACACUAAACUAAAAGACGGGCCACACCAAAUCAAAGGAUAUUCAAACCUUGUUUAACUUAGUAGUAAAAAUGAACGUUACAGAUG
RNAcentral lists this ribosomal RNA (916 nucleotides) under Triticum aestivum (bread wheat). Its description in RNAcentral is "partial small subunit ribosomal RNA". Lineage: Eukaryota; Viridiplantae; Streptophyta; Magnoliopsida; Poales; Poaceae. The record is from RNAcentral.